This 253-nucleotide ribosomal RNA is filed under the name uncultured bacterium. RNAcentral's name for it is "partial 16S ribosomal RNA". It matches the Rfam family "Bacterial small subunit ribosomal RNA", at positions 524 to 776 of the family's 1533-position model. The record is from RNAcentral.
GACGAACCGUGCGAACGUUGUUCGGAUUCACUGGGCUUAAAGGGCGCGUAGGCGGGCCGCCAAGUCUGUGGUGAAAGCCCCCGGCUUAACCGGGGAAGUGCCGCGGAUACUGGCGGUCUCGAGGGGUGCAGGGGCAUGCGGAACUUCCGGUGGAGCGGUGAAAUGCGUAGAUAUCGGAAGGAACGCCGGUGGCGAAAGCGGCGUGCUGGACAACUACUGACGCUGAGGCGCGAAAGCCAGGGGAGCAAACGGG